This 497-nucleotide ribosomal RNA is filed under the name uncultured bacterium. RNAcentral describes it as "partial 16S ribosomal RNA". It matches the Rfam family "Bacterial small subunit ribosomal RNA", at positions 28 to 507 of the family's 1533-position model. The record is from RNAcentral.
GAUGAACGCUGGCGGCGUGCCUAAUACAUGCAAGUCGAGCGAACGGACGAGACGCUUGCUUCUCUGAUGUUAGCGGCGGACGGGUGAGUAACACGUGGAUCACCUCCCUAUAUGUCUGGGAUCACUUCGGGAAACCGGAGCUAAUACCGGAUAAUCUUUUGCACCGCAUGGUUCAAAAGUGAAAGUCGGCCUUGCUGUCUCUUAUAGAUGGUUCCGCGCUGCAUUAGCUAGUUGGUAAGGUAACGGCUUACCAAGGCAACGAUGCGUAGCCGACCUGAGAGGGUGAUCGGCCACACGAGAACGGAAACACGGACCAGACUCCUACGGGAGGCAGCAGUAGGGAAUCGUCCGCAAUGGGCGAAAGCCUGACGGAGCAACGCCGCGUGAGUGAUGAAGGUCUUCGGAUCGUAAAACUCUGUUAUUAGGGAAGAACAGAUGUGGAAGUAACUGUGCACAUCUUGACGGUACCUAAUCAGAAAGCCACGGCUAACUACGUG